GCCUCGGUAGCUCAAUGGUAGAGCAGUUGGCUCUUAACCAAUUGGUUGGGGGUUCGAGUCCCUCCCGGGGUACCA
This 75-nucleotide transfer RNA is filed under the name Verrucomicrobiales bacterium. RNAcentral's name for it is "tRNA-Lys". It matches the Rfam family "tRNA". From Rfam's summary of the family: Transfer RNA (tRNA) molecules are approximately 80 nucleotides in length. The record is from RNAcentral. Lineage: Bacteria; Pseudomonadati; Verrucomicrobiota; Verrucomicrobiia; Verrucomicrobiales.